RNAcentral lists this ribosomal RNA (497 nucleotides) under uncultured bacterium. RNAcentral's name for it is "partial 16S ribosomal RNA". It matches the Rfam family "Bacterial small subunit ribosomal RNA", at positions 28 to 507 of the family's 1533-position model. The record is from RNAcentral.
GAUGAACGCUGGCGGCGUGCCUAAUACAUGCAAGUCGAGCGAACAGACGAGGAGCUUGCUCCUCUGACGUUAGCGGCGGACGGGUGAGUAACACGUGGAUAACCUACCUAUAAGACUGGGAUAACUUCGGGAAACCGGAGCUAAUACCGGAUAAUAUAUUGAACCGCAUGGUUCAAUAGUGAAAGACGGUUUUGCUGUCACUUAUAGAUGGAUCCGCGCCGCAUUAGCUAGUUGGUAAGGUAACGGCUUACCAAGGCAACGAUGCGUAGCCGACCUGAGAGGAGGAUCGGCCACCCUGGAACUGAGACACGGUCCAGACUCCUACGGGAGGCAGCAGUAGGGAAUCUUACGCAAUGGGCGAAAGCCUGACGGAGCAACGCCGCGUGAGUGAUGAAGGUCUUCGGAUCGUAAAACUCUGUUAUUAGGGAAGAACAAAUGUGUAAGUAACUAUGCACGUCUUGACGGUACCUAAUCAGAAAGCCACGGCUAACUACGUG